UUAACGGAGAGUUUGAUCCUGGCUCAGGACGAACGCUGGCGGCGUGCCUAAUACAUGCAAGUCGAGCGGACUUGAAGGAGUGCU
RNAcentral lists this ribosomal RNA (84 nucleotides) under Paenibacillus suaedae. RNAcentral describes it as "partial 16S ribosomal RNA". It matches the Rfam family "Bacterial small subunit ribosomal RNA", at positions 1 to 84 of the family's 1533-position model. Lineage: Bacteria; Bacillati; Bacillota; Bacilli; Caryophanales; Paenibacillaceae. The record is from RNAcentral.